RNAcentral lists this ribosomal RNA (446 nucleotides) under uncultured bacterium. Its description in RNAcentral is "partial 16S ribosomal RNA". It matches the Rfam family "Bacterial small subunit ribosomal RNA", at positions 29 to 523 of the family's 1533-position model. The record is from RNAcentral.
AACGAACGCUGGCGGCAGGCUUAACACAUGCAAGUCGAACGCCCCGCAAGGGGAGUGGCAGACGGGUGAGUAACGCGUGGGAACAUACCCUUUUCUACGGAAUAGCUCUGGGAAACUGGAAUUAAUACCGUAUACGCCCUACGGGGGAAGGAUUUAUCGGGGAAGGAUUGGCCCGCGUUGGAUUAGCUAGUUGGUGGGGUAAAGGCCCACCAAGGCGACGAUCCAUAGCUGGUCUGAGAGGAUGAUCAGCCACAUUGGGACUGAGACACGGCCCAAACUCCUACGGGAGGCAGCAGUGGGGAAGAUUGGACAAUGGGCGCAAGCCUGAUCCAGCCAUGCCGCGUGAGUGAUGAAGGCCUUAGGGUUGUAAAGCUCUUUCACCGAUGAAGAUAAUGACGGUAGUCGGAGAAGAAGCCCGGCUAACUUCGUGCCAGCAGCCGCCGUAA